RNAcentral lists this ribosomal RNA (496 nucleotides) under uncultured bacterium. RNAcentral describes it as "partial 16S ribosomal RNA". It matches the Rfam family "Bacterial small subunit ribosomal RNA", at positions 29 to 507 of the family's 1533-position model. The record is from RNAcentral.
AUGAACGCUGGCGGCGUGCCUAAUACAUGCCAGUCGAGCGAACAGAUGAGGAGCUUGCUCCUCUGACGUUAGCGGCGGACGGGUGAGUAACACGUGGAUAACCUACCUAUAAGACUGGGAUAACUUCGGGAAACCGGAGCUAAUACCGGAUAAUAUAUUGAACCGCAUGGUUCAAUAGUGAAAGACGGUUUUGCUGUCACUUAUAGAUGGAUCCGCGCCGCAUUAGCUAGUUGGUAAGGUAACGGCUUACCAAGGCAACGAUGCGUAGCCGACCUGAGAGGGUGAUCGGCCACACUGGAACUGAGACACGGUCCAGACUCCUACGGGAGGCAGCAGUAGGGAAUCUUCCGCAAUGGGCGAAAGCCUGACGGAGCAACGCCGCGUGAGUGAUGAAGGUCCUCGGAUCGUAAAACUCUGUUAUUAGGGAAGAACAAAUGUGUAAGUAACUAUGCACGUCUUGACGGUACCUAAUCAGAAAGCCACGGCUAACUACGUG